RNAcentral lists this unclassified non-coding RNA (509 nucleotides) under Bombus terrestris (buff-tailed bumblebee). RNAcentral describes it as "misc RNA ENSBTSG00005020225.1". The record is from RNAcentral. Lineage: Eukaryota; Metazoa; Arthropoda; Insecta; Hymenoptera; Apidae.
AAAUUAGAAGUUUGAAUACUUUUACUUCGAUUUUUGUACUUGCUAUACGUAAAUAUUGGAAUACAGAAUUCAGUUAAUUAAGAUCAAAAGAUAAAAAUGUGAUUUACAGGAGAAAGUUCAUUAAAGCAUGGUGUCAUAUACCGUCAUAAAAAAAGGAAAAUUAAAAUAUCAAUGACAAGAGGAAAUUACUACUAUGUAAUUCAUUGGCAGUAACAUUGGAUAAAUAUUACAAAUUUUACUAUACGUUUACAAACAUACAAAGAGAAAGAGAAAAAGAAAGGGGGGAGAGAAUCGAUAAUAGCGUUUGCUAUCUAGUAGUCUGUCGAGGAGAAAACAUAUCCCGACCAACAGCGAAAAUGACAGAGAAACGUGUACGCUUCAAUUCACAGCCGCUUAAAUCUUACACCUGCAUGAAAUCUGAUUUCAAAGAUAUUGGAGUACUAAAAUACAUGCAGCUUGUAAACGAUGUUUAAUAAAUGAAAUGCACAGAAUGCAGUACAAUUGUGAAG